GAUGAAGAACGUAGCGAAAUGCGAUAAGUAAUGUGAAUUGCAGAAUUCAGUGAAUCAUCGAAUCUUUGAACGCACAUUGCGCCCGCCAGUACUCUGGCGGGCAUGCCUGUUCGAGCGUCAUUUCAACCCUCGGGCCCCGCAUUCGUGCGGGCCCCGGCGUUGGGGACCGGCCUCCGCAUCGGACGACCGCCCCCGAAACCCAGUGGCGGUCCCGCCGCGGCCUUCUCUGCGUAGUAGCAUACACCUCGCACUGGAGAGCGGCGCGGCCACGCCGUAAAAGAAACGAACUUUCUGAAGGUUGACCUCGGAUCAGGUAGGAAUACCCGCUGAACUUAAGCAUAUCAAUAAGCGGAGGA
Molecule: unclassified non-coding RNA, 356 nt
Filed under: soil metagenome
Description: partial contains 5.8S ribosomal RNA, internal transcribed spacer 2, and large subunit ribosomal RNA
Rfam family: 5.8S ribosomal RNA (bases 1-120)
Source: RNAcentral